UCUAAGAAGCUGCCGGAUAACUCCUCCUCCAACCAUUUGAUGAACACUUUUGUACCAAUCAACCUACCUGAAACAAACACAGACGAUUCUCAACCAUUUGAUGCCAUUACACAUACACGAAUAUCAAAAAACAAACAAAAAAAGGUAAGCCCUAGAAAAAAAUCGAUUCUCUAUAAAGAUCCCAAGAUCCAGUAAACAAAAAUUGAAAUAUAGAAAUGGCAGAUUCGGAUAUGAGAUAUGCUGAAUCGAGAAAAAAAAAUGAGAACUCACAGGAAAUGAAGCAACGAGAUCGGUGAUUGACGAACACAAGGAGGAAGAAGAAGAAGUAAACAGAUACCACAGACACAGAGAAAAUGGAAAUGUAUGUCUCCAGAUGACGCGACUGUGACAUACAAACACAACACCUUUCAGAUUUUUUUAAGUGCCAUGGGCCUAACAUCAUCUAUUAAAG
This 451-nucleotide long non-coding RNA is filed under the name Capsella grandiflora. RNAcentral describes it as "long non-coding RNA (CGRA_LNC000056)". The record is from RNAcentral. Lineage: Eukaryota; Viridiplantae; Streptophyta; Magnoliopsida; Brassicales; Brassicaceae.